RNAcentral lists this ribosomal RNA (448 nucleotides) under uncultured bacterium. RNAcentral describes it as "bacterial SSU rRNA". It matches the Rfam family "Bacterial small subunit ribosomal RNA", at positions 355 to 825 of the family's 1533-position model. The record is from RNAcentral.
UGGGGAAUAUUGGACAAUGGGCGCAAGCCUGAUCCAGCCAUGCCGCGUGAGUGACGAAGGUCUUCGGAUUGUAAAGCUCUUUUUACCAGGGAUGAUAAUGACAGUACCUGGAGAAUAAGCUCCGGCUAACUCCGUGCCAGCAGCCGCGGUAAUACGGAGGGAGCUAGCGUUGUUCGGAAUUACUGGGCGUAAAGCGUACGUAGGCGGUGACUCAAGUCAGAGGUGAAAGCCUGGAGCUCAACUCCAGAACUGCCUUUGAAACUAGGUCGCUAGAAUCACGGAGAGGUGAGUGGAAUUCCGAGUGUAGAGGUGAAAUUCGUAGAUAUUCGGAAGAACACCAGUGGCGAAGGCGGCUCACUGGACGUGUAUUGACGCUGAGGUACGAAAGCGUGGGGAGCAAACAGGAUUAGAUACCCAAGUAGUCCCUGAGCGGGCUGGCAAGGCGCAU